RNAcentral lists this ribosomal RNA (460 nucleotides) under uncultured bacterium. RNAcentral's name for it is "partial 16S ribosomal RNA". It matches the Rfam family "Bacterial small subunit ribosomal RNA", at positions 338 to 795 of the family's 1533-position model. The record is from RNAcentral.
CCUACGGGAGGCAGCAGUGAGGAAUAUUGGUCAAUGGACGAGAGUCUGAACCAGCCAAGUAGCGUGAAGGAUGACUGCCCUAUGGGUUGUAAACUUCUUUUAUAUGGGAAUAAAACGUUCCACGUGUGGGAUUUUGUAUGUACCAUAUGAAUAAGGAUCGGCUAACUCCGUGCCAGCAGCCGCGGUAAUACGGAGGAUCCGAGCGUUAUCCGGAUUUAUUGGGGUUAAAGGGAGCGUAGGUGGAUUGUUAAGUCAGUUGUGAAAGUUUGCGGCUCAACCGUAAAAUUGCAGUUGAAACUGGCAGUCUUGAGUACAGGAGAGGUGGGCGGAAUUCGUGGUGUAGCGGUGAAAUGCUUAGAUAUCACGAAGAACUCCGAUUGCGAAGGCAGUUCACUGGACUGCAACUGACACUGAGGCUCGAAAGUGUGGGUAUCAAACAGGAUUAGAUACCCCAGUAGUC